RNAcentral lists this long non-coding RNA (331 nucleotides) under Gossypium barbadense (sea-island cotton). Its description in RNAcentral is "long non-coding RNA (GBAR_LNC012495)". Lineage: Eukaryota; Viridiplantae; Streptophyta; Magnoliopsida; Malvales; Malvaceae. The record is from RNAcentral.
UUCAAGCAGCUGAGCAAUGCUAAGCAAGUUUCUAUCAAUAUCAGGCACAAACAAGACAUUUGUAACAAGUUUGGUACCUGUAAGAAUGUCUAUCAGCACAUCUCCUUUCUCAACUUUGAUGAAGUGUCCAUUUCUAACCUUUACCCUUGUUUUGAAGCUUUUGUUAAUUGACUUAAAAAUGCCAGCAUCAGGGGUCAUGUGGUUUGUACAACCACUGUCUAUCAGUCAUCCUUCUGUGGCUUUUCUUUUGGUAGAUGAGCAAGAGACAGCAAAAACUCAUUCUUCUUGAUCACUUUCUUCUUCUGCCACUUGAGCUUCAGCUCUUGGCUGC